UGACUUAGUGUUGUUUUAUGCUUUAUCUGUUAAAAUAUGAACAAUUUUCCUCUUUCCGUUUGGUUUUUAUGACGUUUUUACAAAAGCACUGUUUUUGGAGUGAUGUCCCCCCUUAAUUCUUUUGAACUUGAAUAAAACGUGAGAAGUGAUAGCUAAAUGCCAUGUGUUUAAGAACAUCCAUCCAUCUAUCUAGCCCGCCGUUCUGGCCGGUGAAAGUGUCUUUUACGUAUCUUUUGUGUGUUUUUUUUUCGGCCAAAAAAGAUAGAUAAAAGGCAAUUCAAAGACAGCUGGAAGACAGCCAAAAUAUACAUUGAGGUGACUUCUUUCUAUCUUGUGUGUAUCUGUCGCCAGACUUCCUGCUAACUUUUUCGAAAAGAUAGAAAAAAGACGAAUCUAAGUGCUCCAGUUCUACGCGGGCAGAAGCUUGCUUGGAGAUGUGCUCAUGAACGAGCAUCUGAAGGAAGAAUAUGAUAUGAAGUUCUCUUACGAAAUGGAAGUUUACUUGGCAGACAUAAUAGUGCAAUUAUUUCCAACAGAUGUCAAGUCUGCAGGCUUCUCCCACUCCUGGUGGUAGGGAUAGUGUUGAGGGAAGGCGCAAAUUAGUAAAAAGGUUAAAAGCGUAAGGUUAUGCGCAAAGGUAGACUAAUUAAGGAGGCUCAGAAAGACAAGGAAACUCCAAACAUCUCCAGUGAUGAAAGGAUCAGGAUGAUCCUGCCCAUGAUGACAUACUCAGGCUGAAGAACAACAACAGCCCUGGUCAAGUUUGGAAGAAUAAUGGAAAGCUAAAUCUUCGUAUCGUUUGCGCAAGUUAGGGGGUGCCUCCUCAACUGAUUGCUACAUGAGUGUUUAUCCUGCAUUAAGGGAUCCCCUGGGCUAUUUGCUUCGGGAAAUGGAUUUUGAUUUGAAGGAGUUCCCCAACUCUCGAGUCAAUUUGUUCGGAGAGUGGCCGAACCUCUCGCUAUUGGAGUCUAAGGUGCCCAAAGCUAAACUAACUAAAAUUCAAAAUUGUUUGACUCCAGGGAAGGAAGAUAAAGACAAUUUUGGCUCUGCCUUAUCUGUUCCAAGUCUAAACAUGCGCCAAGAAAGGAAAGAACAAGCAGUGGCGACCCUCAAGAUACGAAGUUGGUAAAGCUCUGCUGCUUCAUGUAAAGACAAUUGGAGACAUUGAACCAACUUUGUUAGACCGGCUGAAAGAAAAGUAUGAGCAACAAUUUAAGCCUGGGACCUCAAGCAAUCGUUGUUGGCCCUGAUGUAGAUUCGAUUCAGCAAAGCUACAUCCGUGUCAACAACAUUCUGUACAAGGUGGACAAUGCACGCAAGGCUAUAGACAUUCCUUUCAAGAGUUUCCAUUCACUCGAUGGAAAAUAUCACAUUGGAGCAGAGAGGGAAUGGCUCUUCUUGGAAACAGCUGUGUGGCAUCAAUGAAGGGAAGGAUGGAGACGGCCGAAUUGAAAGCAGUCGCUCUGAGUAUUUAAAGUUUAAAUCAUCCAAGUGUUUCCCAUCUGUUUGCUCAAUUUCUUUUAGUUGAUUUUGAAAUGUUUUCUACACAACCUUUGUGCAGUUAGAGUUGUGUUUGUUUUUUUUCUUCUAAUGUUUUAGUAUUAAUAUUGAUCUCAUUGUAGUUAAACUUCGUAAUUUUAAUUAGUUUUCUUUCGUGUGCUUUUACAGGGCCCAUUGGUGUUACAUACCAGAUGUUUCAAAAUGUGCCUUGCUCUCAAUGUAUAAGUCCCAAUUUCCUGACUUGUUCUCUUUUCGUGUCCAUUUCCAAAUAUCUCACCAAAAUGUUAACACUUAUGUAUGCAUGUUUGACAAGUGUGACCGUAAAUUUAAUAAUUAUCGGCUGAGCGAUAGCGAAGCCCAUGUCGUAACCGGAUCAGCCCGAAGCGCAUACGGGCCCAGCACCUGCCGCGGAAAUAUAAUGAGGUGGUGGCCAGCGUGUGAAGGUGACGAGUCGAAACCGCGCACCGCCGCGGGGGUUGACCACAGCCCCCUCUCCCAGUCCGGCACCCGGCCGGACGGGGCUAAAAGCGGGGAGCGGACGCGACUCGGAGGGGACCUCCGAGUCGGAGCUGCUCGUCAGGGCCCCGGAAAAGACCCCGCUCGCCCUCGGACACCGCACGUCGCCAUCGCACUCGCCGCUCUGUAACUCCCUAGUGUAACUAUGUGUGAUUAAAGAGUUGUGCAAGAAUUUGCCCUCGCUUGCUACUGUUACACCUUGCCUUGUGAUCCCGCCUAGCCGAAUCAGACCCAACGAUGAAGGGUUGAGUUAUGGCCCAAAGAGAGUGCGAAGCUGAGUGGAGCAGAGCAGAGAGAAUGUUCUCUCGUUCUUUCUCAAAUCGCACGACCCCCGAAAUCGAUG
Molecule: long non-coding RNA, 2359 nt
Organism: Thrips palmi
Lineage: Eukaryota; Metazoa; Arthropoda; Insecta; Thysanoptera; Thripidae
Exons: 7
Source: RefSeq, a predicted model, not a curated record